This 433-nucleotide ribosomal RNA is filed under the name uncultured bacterium. Its description in RNAcentral is "partial 16S ribosomal RNA". It matches the Rfam family "Bacterial small subunit ribosomal RNA", at positions 29 to 507 of the family's 1533-position model. The record is from RNAcentral.
AACGAACGCUGGCGGCAUGCCUAACACAUGCGAGUCGAACGAGACCUUCGGGUCUAGUGGCGCACGGGUGCGUAACGCGUGGGAACCUGCCCUUAGGUUCGGAAUAACUCCCCGAAAGGGGUGCUAAUACCGGAUAAUGUCUUCGGACCAAAGAUUUAUCGCCUUUGGAUGGGCCCGCGUUGGAUUAGCUAGUUGGUAGGGUAAAAGCCUACCAAGGCGACGAUCCAUAGCUGGUCUGAGAGGAUGAUCAGCCACACUGGGACUGAGACACGGCCCAGACUGCUACGGGAGGCAGCAGUGGGGAAUAUUGGACAAUGGGCGAAAGCCUGAUCCAGCAAUGCCGCGUGAGUGAUGAAGGCCUUAGGGUUGUAAAGCUCUUUUACCCGGGAUGAUAAUGACAGUACCGGGAGAAUAAGCUCCGGCUAACUCCGUG